RNAcentral lists this ribosomal RNA (380 nucleotides) under Liriomyza trifolii (celery leafminer). RNAcentral describes it as "partial large subunit ribosomal RNA". The record is from RNAcentral. Lineage: Eukaryota; Metazoa; Arthropoda; Insecta; Diptera; Agromyzidae.
AAAAGAACUCUGAAUAGAGAGUUAAAUAGUACGUGAAACUGCUUAGAGGUUAAGCCCGAUGAACCUGAAUAUCCAAUAUAGAGAAUUCAUCAUUAAUAUAUUAAUUAUUAUUAAUAUAAUGGUGUGCAUUUUCUCUAUAUAAUUGGACAUUGUAAUCUAUUAAUAUAUAUAAUUUAUCAUAAGAUCAUAAGCAUAUGUUUAUUUUUAUUAAUUUAGCUUUUAGCUAUUUUAUAAAAUAAUUGCUAUUGAUUUGAUAAAGUGUUGAUAGAUUUAAUCAUAUGUAUAAUGCUUAAAUUCAUUUUAUGAAUUUUAUAAUAUAGCAAUAUAUUAUAAGCAUUUAUACGAUUUACAAUGCGAAAGAUUCAGGAUACCUUCGGGAC